Molecule: ribosomal RNA, 405 nt
Filed under: uncultured prokaryote
Description: bacterial SSU rRNA
Rfam family: Bacterial small subunit ribosomal RNA
Source: RNAcentral
UGGGGAAUAUUGCGCAAUGGAGGAAACUCUGACGCAGCAACGCCGCGUGAAGGAUGAAGGUUUUCGGAUUGUAAACUUCUUUGAUCGGGGACGAAAAUGACGGUACCCGAGGAACAAGCCACGGCUAACUCCGUGCCAGCAGCCGCGGUAAUACGGAGGGGGCAAGCGUUGUUCGGAUUUAUUGGGCGUAAAGCGCGUGUAGGCGGUACGGUAAGUCGGAUGUUAAAGACCCACGGCUCACCCGGGGGAGUGCGUUCGAUACUGCCGUGCUAGAGUGCAGGAGAGGAAAGUGGAAUUCCUGGUGUAGCGGUGAAAUGCGUAGAUAUCAGGAGGAACACCGGUGGCGAAGGCGGCUUUCUGGCCUGUAACUGACGCUUAGACGCGAAAGCAUGGGGAGCGAACGGG